Molecule: non-coding RNA, 114 nt
Organism: Acanthosepion pharaonis
Lineage: Eukaryota; Metazoa; Mollusca; Cephalopoda; Sepiida; Sepiidae
Source: the annotation of a GenBank genome assembly
UUAUGGCCAUAUCACAUUGAAAUGCCAGUUCUUGUACGAUCACUGAAAUUAAGCAACAUCAAGCCUGGUCAGUACCUAGAUGAGUGAUCGCUUAGGAAUACAAGAUGCUGUAAG